GAUGAAGAACGUAGCAAAAUGCGAUAAGUAAUGUGAAUUGCAGAAUUCAGUGAAUCAUCGAAUCUUUGAACGCACAUUGCGCCCGCCAGUAUUCUGGCGGGCAUGCCUGUUCGAGCGUCAUUUCAACCCUCAAGCACAGCUUGGUGUUGGGACUCGCGUUAAUUCGCGUUCCUCAAAUUGAUUGGCGGUCACGUCGAGCUUCCAUAGCGUAGUAGUAAAACCCUCGUUACUGGUAAUCGUCGCGGCCACGCCGUUAAACCCCAGCUUCUGAAUGUUGACCUCGGAUCAGGUAGGAAUACCCGCUGAACUUAAGCAUAUCAAUAAGCGGAGGA
This 332-nucleotide unclassified non-coding RNA is filed under the name soil metagenome. RNAcentral's name for it is "partial contains 5.8S ribosomal RNA, internal transcribed spacer 2, and large subunit ribosomal RNA". The stretch from base 1 to 120 matches the Rfam family "5.8S ribosomal RNA", at positions 35 to 154 of the family's 154-position model. The record is from RNAcentral.